CGCUCCCGCCUCAUGAGGCCCCGGACCCUCAGCUCCAGCGGGUCCUGCCUAGGCUCCUUGUGGGCGCCGGUCCCUCCGCCCCUGCCCUGGGGAAAUGGAAUGUUCGUUCUCGCCACAUAUCAAGCAGUUUCCAAGUUCAAAAGUGAAACUUUAGAAGAAGACAGCUAACCAGUAGAACAGAUUGCCAGCAGUGUGGUGUGAAUUUCCAUUACUCUCAGUUUAAAACAAGCAAGUUUCUCUAGAAAAAAUGCAGUGAGGGAGAAAAGUGGGAUACCAGAAGCUCAGGCAGCUGAACAACACUGGGAAACACCUUAUAAAUUGGCUUCAGACCCCCAGCCAGCAAAGUGGGAAUUGCCCAGUGUUCUUGGGACCACUGACCUGCAGCUCCUGCCCGUGGCAUCAGGAGAGUGCCAAUAAAAUCCCUACAGGGCCAAUGGGAAAGAA
Empidonax traillii (willow flycatcher) is the source of this 444-nucleotide long non-coding RNA. RefSeq lists it as uncharacterized. NCBI's taxonomy places the organism in Eukaryota, Metazoa, Chordata, Aves, Passeriformes, Tyrannidae. The transcript has 3 exons. The record is from RefSeq and is a predicted model, not a curated record.